Molecule: long non-coding RNA, 1569 nt
Filed under: Salmo salar (Atlantic salmon)
Lineage: Eukaryota; Metazoa; Chordata; Actinopteri; Salmoniformes; Salmonidae
Description: lncRNA (ENSSSAG00000108102.1)
Source: RNAcentral
GUACGCUCUCGUUGGCUGGCCCUCGCUUCACACUCGUCGCCAAACCCACUGGCUUCAGGUCAUCUUCAAGUCUCUGAUAGUCGAGCUCGUUGAUCAGUUUCCCGGGGCAAGCAGAAUCGCCGAUGACUCCUGCGGACAGGUCACCCGUCCUUACGAGAUUGUCCCGGACUUGUCUCCUCUCACAUCAACCAUUAAUGGACCGAAUUCAGGAGUUUGAAACCAUCCUCUGCUACCAAGUUUUGUUGAUGAUCAGUUACUUGAGAAGGAGACCAAGUCAAAACGCUGGACCAGGUGGAUUCAGUUUAUAGUAAGGCAGUUUAUUAAGAGACAAAGAUAUUUGCCAAAGCGUGCACGGACUCGUUCGUUUAGCUCAUAGGGAACUAGCGGAAGAGAGCCCCGAAACAUCGUGUGCGUUUAAUUUAUACAAUGAAAUAACAGUGUGUUGACGUAGGUUGAGUCUAGUGGGUCCGCUCUCCUGACUGGUCGAUGAGUGGAGGGACGGUCCAUUCUCCGGGUGGUGUCGACUUCCCAUUGGCCCUUGGCAGUGUCCUUUGUCCUCGGAGUCCAACACCCCUAAGUGUGUGUGUGUGUGUGUGUGUGUGUGUCUGCUAAGUCGUGUCUGGGUGGUUGCGAUAGUCAUGGGGUGUUGUUUUUUACCCCAGUGGUCAGUUCGUGUGGCUAGGGCGCUUCCUGUUUUGUCAUGUUAUGUGAGUGCUGUUUUGUCAUGUUAUGUGAGUGCUUAAGUCAGCCAUCUGUCUCUGAGUGUGCUCGUGAUUGGUAUCAGUUGGUUGCCCAAUAUGUCUCUGGAGCCCUGCUGUGCGCCGCUGCGAAGCAUGUCGUGCAAAUGCCCUCCUUAUACAUCACUAGGUAAAACGUUAGAUUAUCUUUAUUACACACGUGUAACUCUGUGUUGUUGUAUGUGUCGAACUGCUUUGCUUUAUUCUUGGCCAGGUCGCAGUUGUAAAUGAGAACUUGUUCUCAACUUGCCUACCUGGCUAAAUAAAGGUGAUAUAAAAAUGAAAAACAUGAAAGGAUACCCAGUGUUGCCAACUAAUUUUCAGGGUAAGUUGCUAGAGGCAGGUUGAUUUUGUCGUGUCUUUGAAAACCAUUAACUGAAGACAUGUUUAUCAAAAUAACUCCCUGUAAUUAUUAUCAUACGAUUAUAAUGAUUAAUCGUUUAACUGUAAUUAACUAGGAGAUCGGGGCACCAAGGAAAAUAUUCAGAUUACAAAGUUAUAAUUUUCCUAAUAUAACUUUCCUAUAUUAUAACAUUAUAUAUUAUAUUAUAGUAUAGGCCGAUUAUCUACUGGUUUAAAUGGUGUAUUUUACCUCGCGUCCAGUCUCAUUCCAAACGUCGUAAAUUGUUGUAUCUGCACGAACCCAGUCUUUACUAAAAGUCAUCCAUACAUCAAUUGUCUUAAAAUCAUUUAUUUACUAAACUAAGUAAUUCACAGAAAGCAUACAAACAGUAAUUAUCGUCAUAAAGAAUUGGUAGAGUAAUGUGACCUAGUGGGCUAAACCGACAUGGCUGGUGUCUUGUUAAAACAAGGGUCAUAAAGGGCAGCUGAG